UGGAUCAAUGACUCAGUUUACUCUAUUUCAAGACUAUGAGGGGCAGAGAAGUACUGUCCUGCAAGGGAAUUUUUUUGUUGUUGGAAGUUCCCAAUUCCAGGGAGAUCAGGAGUUCAAUCCCUCUCCCUCUCUUACGUCUGCAAAGAGGGAGGGGAGUGUAGCCAUGCAUGACCUCUGCUCCAUUGGACCCAUCUGUGACAAUCUGAUUCAGUCACUUGGUCUUUGAUCCCAGGUGCCCUUGUGACUCCAAACAUUAGCCUAGUCCUAUAACUAUAAAGUUGCAAAAUCCCCAACAAAAUUGGACUGAGCUCAAGACCAGUGAUCUUUCUCCUGCCCUUAUUUAGAAAGGGAUCAAAUGCCAAGAAGCCUCAUUCAGAGUCAUUUUGAAACCAGUGCAGGCACUCAUGGCAGAGGUAAAAGGCUUCCUAGUAGGGGAAGAGACAAAGCAGUAUGGAGAGCAGAAGGGGUCUAAGCUGUGGGUCAUAAUUUUGGUUAUCAUUCUGGUGGUCCUCCCUGUGCUGGCCACAUUUCAGUGGUUUUUGCACAGAGCCACUUCUGAAGUCUUUCACCAAGCCUUCCCCUGUAAUGAGAGUCAACUACUGGAGGAGAAACUGAAACAAAGCCAGGAAAGCUUCCUGGAGAUGGAGACAAGAUGGUGGAGUUGCAGCAAUGACUCGAGAGACCUGAAUCAGACCCUGGAGGAGUUGACAUCCCAGAGAAACUCGCUGUACACUCAACUGCAGGAGCUGAAGGAAGAGAACCUGGAUUUGACUGAUAAACUUAAGAAGACUGAAACAGCCCUGCAGAGGGAAAGUCCACCUAAGGGUAGUGGGAUACUCCUGUCUACUCUUGCUUCAGAGGGCUGCUUGUAAGGUGAUCCAAAGGUGCCCACAAGUGCUCAGAUCUGCAACUUCCAUCUUCUCUAUCAGCUGCAAAACCUCAAGUGAGUCCAACAGUCUCUUCACUGAUUUGGAACCUUUCCCCUACCAGCUCUGAGAUUCUGUGUCUCAUGGCCUGUCUGUCAAUCUUUGCAACUCAUCUCUACAGUCCCCCCUUUGCACAAAGCCUAAAUCGUGUUGAAAACACUAUUUUGGCAUUUGUGCACAACCUUUUGGCAUUUGUGCCACUUACAGAUUACCUAAACUAAAAUGUCUACCCAAAAUAACAACAACCUACACUCGACUAUCUUAACUUACCUAAUACUAACCUAUUCUAGGAAUUUUAUCAAGGAAAGGAAAAAAGGAAUUAAAUAAUGAACAAGUACAAAUUUCAAACAUAUGCAAAAGCACAACAAGCAAAUAACAUUAAAACAAAAGAUAAACACAACUUCUAUGCAAGCAUUAAACUCAUAAAUACUACUCUUAUCAACUAAUACAGAAAAUUCUACUACUGUUGUAAUGCAUUAAUAUCAAACUUAGAGAAAAAUCUUUGAAAAUUACAAUAAACACAAUAUUGCAUAAGUUUUAUACA
RNAcentral lists this long non-coding RNA (1470 nucleotides) under Monodelphis domestica (gray short-tailed opossum). Its description in RNAcentral is "lncRNA (ENSMODG00000032776.2)". Lineage: Eukaryota; Metazoa; Chordata; Mammalia; Didelphimorphia; Didelphidae. The record is from RNAcentral.